GUCCUCAGCCGAGAGGCGGGGCGCGGUGCAGCGAGGCGCCCCAGCUCGGGGGCCAGCUGAGUACCGCCGCCGUUCUCCUCCGGCCGCUUCCCCCCAACCCCGUCCCACCCGGGCCCACCCCUCCUCCCUGCGGGCGAAGGCAGAACAAUAACCCCCGAGCGCGCCUGGGAAGCGGAGACUCCCGGGCCGAGGGCCGGUGCGAGGGGAGUUCCGAGGGGACAGUCCCCGCGCAGCGGGGGGUCCGAGCGGGACCGCGGCCGCUGGCUGGCCACCCGGGCACGCGAGGCCACGUGGACGACGAUUUAGCUCUUAGCAGCCUGCAAAACAGCCUCUGAAGUUACACAGAGACUUCAGGGAGAGAAGCACUGCGUGUUGCCCUCUAUGAAGAACAGGGUCUGCAUGGGUGACAAGCUGGUGACCUAUGAAGAAUAAGCCCAUAAAACACCGUUCAGCAAGGGCACCACUCCCAGGUGGCUGUGCAGGCAGUGCUGAAGACCAAAGUCACUGAUGAGGCCAAGAUCAUGCAAGAUUUCCGCCUUUGGUAAAUGAAGCAGAUAAAGUCUACCUUGCAAAGUUGUUGUAAGAAUCAGGUAUGAGGAACGGGAUGGCGUCGCGGGAAUGCUUGGACAUAGUAUGAGCCCAACAAAUGAGGGCCAUCAGGUGGUGGAGUGGGGUCAGCCCUCCUGCCCGCCAUCCCGGUGACAAUGUUGAUGGCAGUGAAGAUGGAACCCAUGAUGAAGCCCAAGACCACUUGGCAGCCUUCCCUGCUGCAGGUUUUGAGGUCACGGUUACUUCUCCAGGCUGUAAGACCUUGCCAAGACCUACUCAGGCAUUUCAGGCAGGCUGUUUCCUUCCUCAUCUAGCAGUAUCGAUGAUGUUAGACAUCAAACAUCAGAAGAAUGCAUCUGUGUCAUACUUUGAAACUGAUUAGGACUGGCUCCAAAAAUAAUGUCAAAAGAAUUCCCCAGUUCCCAGAUUAUAGCCACUGUUGUGUGCUGUUGUAAUACGACAAUUCAAGCGAGAGGGGGGCUGCCAUCUUGCCGACAGAGUGGACUCUCUUGACUGAUGGAGGGAAAAUGGGGUCUCCACCACCGGUGAACUUCAAAGCAAGCCAAGCAUCAAUCAACCCCAGGAAAGCCUGUAUUUUGACGCUGCCUGACUUUUCCUCUGAAAGUUUUCCUUUUCCUUUCCUCUCUUUUGCGUUUCAAAAUUUCCCCUCCAGGGAUUACUUCCGUUUGGACCCUCCCUGUUAUUCCACUUCCUGUUUGCCUACUUUUUGUUCUGCUGUGUUUGCUUCUCUCCUCGCCUGGUGCACUUGGCCUUCAGUGAGUUCCUCUAUUUCAUCUCCUGCCCACCCCACAGCCCUUCCGAGGAGGAUCUUAAGUUCCUAAGCUCCUCUCCCCUCCUGGGUUGUAGCUCUUUGGGCCUUUAUGAUACAGCCGAUGCCACCUUGCUUCAAGAAGUUUCUAGCUCCCCUUUUCCACUAAAUCCAUUGAGUUUAGAGGAAGCCUUGGUUCCUUCUAGUUAACAGCUAAGGGCUUGGAGAGACUCUGGGACCCGGAAAAGGGCAUGCUUAGUGCCUCCUCGCUCCCUUACGGCUCCGCAAGUGUUAACUUGCAAACAGUGCUCAGGAAUACGAAGGAGAGACUGAAAUACCAGGGAAAAGAGAGUGUUCUGCGUGCUGCCCUCUCCUUGAGAACAGCGAUGAGGCCAAGAAUGCUCUUGGAUAACCAAGAUAUCCGGCUGUGGAUUGCCCAGCGGCCUCAGGCCACAGGCUUGGUAGGGGGACCCUGCCACUCCUUCUCCUGUUGCGUACCCCAACCCCACCGACCCCCAGUGCCCAACUGCUCCAACCCCUUGGCAAACACGGCACACUCGACAGAGUUGGGCCUUGGCCUGCUGCUUCUCAGUUGCCAACCAGCCAAGAGAACACCUGCUUUUCAUUCUCUUCAGAGGAAGUGUGAAUUUUUCCCGUGGGGCUGUAACCUGUGCUUGUGCUAUAACCCUUCUCCCAGUUUGCUUUUUUGACAUCUUCUAACCUAACUCCAGAAGGUGUCCAAGUGAGUCCCGGCAUCUGCUUCUCACAGCCUGGGAUCACCCUCGAGGUUUUUGCAGCCAGUCGGGGAGGGUCGGUGGCAGACGACGUCGCCGCUAUGGUUUUGUUUUCCUUUGUCUACGUUUGGCUGGCAUAAACACUUCUGAAAAAUGGUCUGCAGCUAAUGCCUUUUCGUUUGGCUCCCUUUAACGAGGGGUUUAUAAAACGACUCUUACUAUGCAGAACACAUGUUCUAAGUAUACAGUUACUUGACGGAUUGAAACAGUGCUGAGAGAGGCAGAACACAUGUUUCAAAAUAUUCCUGAAAUGCAUAAUUACCCCGCGGACCAAUCAGGGACAUAAUAUACAUUUUAAUACACCAUUUAAUUGCUAUUUACCUAGGAGACAGGAACCUUUCUGGUCUCUUGGGCUAAACUACAGAUUUUUAGAAACUGUCUAAACACAUAUUUACUUGAUUCAUUUUGGUCUCUUGGGCGAAGAAUCCUUUUCCAAAGAAGUGGCUGCACAUGCAGAACAAGAGAAUUAAGUGCUCUGAGGUGGCGAGAAGGCAAAGGCUUUAUUCCUCAGGAUUCAGGGAUAACAAUCCUAAAGCGUAGGCUGAGCCCAAGAGCCCUAAAAACAAUCCAUCCCAGUAAUUCCACAUCCCUGAAACUCCCCCUCUCCCAACACCUGCAUAUUUUUUUCAUCUCCACCCUUUCUGAUAAAAAUGUGUACAUUGCAUCACAGUGGCUUCUUUGAGAAAGAACAUUGAGAUACAGCUGGAGAGCUCCACCUCUCGAACCCAAUCCAAGUCCAAGAGCUCCUUAUCUUUCUCCCCCCAAAACCUGCUUCUCCUCACAUGUUCCCCCUCUCAGCAAAUGGCACCAAAUAUCCGCCCCCGGCACUCCUGUCAGAAACCAAGUGUCAUCUUUUACUCUUUCCUCCCUCCCUCUUCUUACAUUCAUCCAGUCAGAAACUAUUUGGCCAGGGGCGGCUCAGUUGGUCGGGCGACUGCCUUCGGCUCGGGUCAUGAUCCUGGAGUCCCGGGAUCGAGUCCCGCAUCGGGCUCCCUGCUCGGCGGGGAGUCUGCUUCUCCCUCUGACCCUCCCCCCUCUCAUGUGCU
This is a long non-coding RNA of Zalophus californianus (California sea lion), 3158 nucleotides long. RefSeq lists it as uncharacterized. The transcript is spliced from 3 exons. The record is from RefSeq and is a predicted model, not a curated record. Lineage: Eukaryota; Metazoa; Chordata; Mammalia; Carnivora; Otariidae.